GUUAAUUAUAAAAAUUUAUAUAAUUAAGAUAAUUAAUAAUAUUUAAUUGGGAGGAUUUAAUAAACUUUAAGUGUAAAUUAAAUUGUAAAUUAAUAUAUAAAAUUUUUUUGAAUGAUUAAUAAAUUGAAAUAGAAUUAAUUACCUUAGGGAUAACAGCGUAAUAUUUUUAUUAAGAUCUCAUUGAUAAAAAUGAUUGC
This 197-nucleotide ribosomal RNA is filed under the name Strumigenys denticulata. RNAcentral describes it as "partial large subunit ribosomal RNA". The record is from RNAcentral. Lineage: Eukaryota; Metazoa; Arthropoda; Insecta; Hymenoptera; Formicidae.